UGAAUUUCUGCACAAAGUCUCAUGUUUCCGUAACAUCCGUUUUAAUUAAAAUAAGGCAAAAUAGUGCAGAUCAAAUAGAUGCAAUAGAGGCUGCAGAUACGAGAUAAGCAAAGCAGUAAAACUACAAGGCCUUAAAACUUCUAAAAGAGGGUAUCAACGCUCAUAUUUUCUGUUUCAUUUUAUCAAAAUGCUCAACUGGCAGUCCUCUUCCUCUUCCUUUUCCACUUAUACUACUUGCUACAGAAGGAUCCGAUGUACAAUGUCUUCACAAAGGCUCCCAGUUUAGUAACACAGUAAGGUAAGCAGUCAAGCUUCAGAAUUCUUUUUGAAUGGUAUAAGAACAAUAUAAAAUGCAUUUACAACAGCCUCAGAAUUGAAAUCUUGAAGACCAUCUCAGUACGAAAAGAUGCAUACGGAACUCAAGAAUGUAGAAUAGGAACCAUAAACCUACUGAAAUCAUAUUACUCAAUAUCAUUACUCCCUACAUCAAUGGUGAUUUGAACUAUACUCUCUAAGAGAAGACUGAUUCCAAGAUAUAAUUGUCCUCCAUACAAAAUACUCUGAGCUGAUAUUUCUGCAUAUCUGAUCUCAACAUGGGAACUGCUAUCCAUCAACAGGAAUAGGAUACUCGUAAACUCUACUAUACUAGCUAAAGUAACUGAUCUGCAUUCUUUUUAAUCCAUCCUGCAGUGAGUAAUUUCGAGCUUUGUAAUACAAAUCAAAUUUGCUUAAAAUAUUAUCUUUUUCUAUAACUGUAAUGUCCAGAUCAGCUUAGAGGCACCUCGACUAAUCCACGGGUCCCUGCUACCUAGCACCAACACUGGUGUUGGUAACUCUGACUGCCAAGGCUUGAUCGGGUAGGAAGAAAUCACCAAGUGUUUUUACCUACGAUGGGAUUUGAAGUUGAGACAUCUUAAUUCUCAACCCACUUCAUUGACCAUUAGCCACUGAGAAAUCCCUAAGGACCAAUUCGCACACGGUUCAAAACUCGGUGAAUAAUAGGUCUGCCCCUCUAUCCUUCUCCGCUUAAAUACAUGUUAGUCCAUAGCAAUUAUCAAACUCGCAACGUGUACCUAACCCACACAUCCUGCGCUAUGUCUUACCACUGAACCAAAGCCUUUGGAGCUUGUUUAAAAUUAUAUUUACCAUUAAAUAACACAAUAAUCAGUUCAAACAUUUUUCCAAUGUUCAUUGGCAUAGAUGAAUAAAUAUAAAUAAUACAACAUUUUUUAGAGAAUAAGACUCAUUAUAAAUAUAUCUAGCCUACAAAUAUCUUAGAAGCUUUGAUCAACCAACCAAAAGAUAUUAUUGGAGAUGGGGGAUUAAGUGACAAUCAUGGCAGAAAGAAAAAAUAAAGAGACGGCUCAUACUCCUGCCAUUCAUCUCGAGAAGUACCCUCCAGAUAUCUCAAAUAUGCAGCCAAAGCAUUCAACACUAGACUUGUACCACCUCCCACUAUAUUUCCACAUUGGGUGACAAAAGCAGAUUUGACGGGUCUCUUCCUCUGAAUUUUCUUGAGACUUGAAUCACUUUGACUGUUCCCAAUCCCAUUAAACUUUUCCUCUCUUAAACCUUGAACCAUGUGACAAAAGCAGAUUUUACAGGUCUCUUCCUCUGAAUUUUCUUGAGACUUGAAUCACUUUGACUGUUCCCAAUCCCAUUAAACUUUUCCUCUCUCAAACCUUGAACCACAGUACUCAGAGUUGCUGCCUGGUCUUUUCGCAAUUCACUUGUAGCUGAAUCCUUCUCAAUCAAAGCCCAUCUGUUCCCUAACGUGC
RNAcentral lists this long non-coding RNA (1778 nucleotides) under Nicotiana benthamiana. RNAcentral describes it as "long non-coding RNA (NBEN_LNC041856)". Lineage: Eukaryota; Viridiplantae; Streptophyta; Magnoliopsida; Solanales; Solanaceae. The record is from RNAcentral.